GCACUGGUGGUCCAGCGGCCACGACUCCGCCCUCGUAGCGUGGCAACAAGGGUUCGACUCCCUUCCAGUGCU
Molecule: transfer RNA, 72 nt
Filed under: Planctomycetaceae bacterium
Lineage: Bacteria; Pseudomonadati; Planctomycetota; Planctomycetia; Planctomycetales; Planctomycetaceae
Description: tRNA-Thr
Rfam family: tRNA
About the family: Transfer RNA (tRNA) molecules are approximately 80 nucleotides in length.
Source: RNAcentral